This 415-nucleotide ribosomal RNA is filed under the name uncultured microorganism. RNAcentral's name for it is "bacterial SSU rRNA". It matches the Rfam family "Bacterial small subunit ribosomal RNA", at positions 9 to 429 of the family's 1533-position model. The record is from RNAcentral.
GAGUCUGAUCUUGGCUCAGAUUGAACGCUGGCGGCAUGCCUUACACAUGCAAGUCGAACGGUAACAGGUCUUCGGAUGCUGACGAGUGGCGAACGGGUGAGUAAUACAUCGGAACGUGCCCGAUCGUGGGGGGAUAACGGAGCGAAAGCUUUGCUAAUACCGCAUACGAUCUACGGAUGAAAGCAGGGGACCGCAAGGCCUUGCGCGGACGGAGCGGCCGAUGGCAGAUUAGGUAGUUGGUGGGAUAAAAGCUUACCAAGCCGACGAUCUGUAGCUGGUCUGAGAGGACGACCAGCCACACUGGGACUGAGACACGGCCCAGACUCCUACGGGAGGCAGCAGUGGGGAAUUUUGGACAAUGGGCGAAAGCCUGAUCCAGCCAUGCCGCGUGCAGGAUGAAGGCCUCGGUUGUAAC